This 376-nucleotide unclassified non-coding RNA is filed under the name uncultured Gammaproteobacteria bacterium. RNAcentral's name for it is "contains 16S-23S intergenic spacer region". The record is from RNAcentral. Lineage: Bacteria; Pseudomonadati; Pseudomonadota; Gammaproteobacteria.
UCCGGUUUGUCACCGGCAGUCCCAUUAGAGUGCCCAACUGAAUGUAGCAACUAAUGGCAAGGGUUGCGCUCGUUGCGGGACUUAACCCAACAUCUCACGACACGAGCUGACGACAGCCAUGCAGCACCUGUGUUGCGGUUCCCUUUCGGGCACCAAGACAUCUCUGUCCCGUUCCGCACAUGUCAAGGGUAGGUAAGGUUAUUCGCGUUGCAUCGAAUUAAUCCACAUCAUCCACCGCUUGUGCGGGUCCCCGUCAAUUCCUUUGAGUUUUAAUCUUGCGGCCGUACUCCCCAGGCGGGACACUUAACGCGUUAGCUGCAGCAAAGAGGGGCAAGCCCCCCUUCACCUAGUCGUCAUCGUUUACCGCGUGGACUAC